This 73-nucleotide transfer RNA is filed under the name Ovis aries (sheep). It matches the Rfam family "tRNA". From Rfam's summary of the family: Transfer RNA (tRNA) molecules are approximately 80 nucleotides in length. Their secondary structure includes four short double-helical elements and three loops (D, anti-codon, and T loops). Further hydrogen bonds mediate the characteristic L-shaped molecular structure. tRNAs have two regions of fundamental functional importance: the anti-codon, which is responsible for specific mRNA codon recognition, and the 3' end, to which the tRNAs corresponding amino acid is attached (by aminoacyl-tRNA synthetases). tRNAs cope with the degeneracy of the genetic code in two manners: having more than one tRNA (with a specific anti-codon) for a particular amino acid; and 'wobble' base-pairing, i.e. permitting non-standard base-pairing at the 3rd anti-codon position. Lineage: Eukaryota; Metazoa; Chordata; Mammalia; Artiodactyla; Bovidae. The record is from Rfam by way of RNAcentral.
UCCUUGGUGGUCCAGUGGUUAGGACUUGGUGCUUUCACUGCCAAGGGCCUGGGUUCAAUCCCUGAUUGGGGAA